Molecule: ribosomal RNA, 235 nt
Filed under: uncultured bacterium
Lineage: Bacteria
Description: partial 16S ribosomal RNA
Rfam family: Bacterial small subunit ribosomal RNA
Source: RNAcentral
UACGAAGGGGGCUAGCGUUGUUCGGAAUCACUGGGCGUAAAGCGCACGUAGGCGGAUCUUUUAAGUCAGGGGUGAAAUCCCGAGGCUCAACCUCGGAACUGCCUUUGAUACUGGGGAUCUCGAGUCCGGGAGAGGUGAGUGGAACUGCGAGUGUAGAGGUGAAAUUCGUAGAUAUUCGCAAGAACACCAGUGGCGAAGGCGGCUCACUGGCCCGGAACUGACGCUGAGGUGCGAA